This is a long non-coding RNA of Haliotis rubra (blacklip abalone), 156 nucleotides long. RefSeq lists it as uncharacterized. NCBI's taxonomy places the organism in Eukaryota, Metazoa, Mollusca, Gastropoda, Lepetellida, Haliotidae. The transcript is spliced from 4 exons. The record is from RefSeq and is a predicted model, not a curated record.
AUCACUUCCAUCCUUGCUGUAGAUUUUGUUGGGACAUCUCAUCAACGAACAUGAAGCUGUUUCUCCUGAUGGUUCUUGCCACUCUGUUGACUGCAGAAUGUGUUGUUGCAGAACGACAACAAAUCAAGCUGGCCCCAACCAUGAGAACACGGUUCA